UUGCGGCCAUAUCACGUUGAAACAUCGGUUCUCGUCCGAUCACCCAAGUUAAGCAACGUCGAGACUGGUUAGUACCUAGAUGGGUGACUGCUUAGGAAUACCAGGUGCUGAAAG
Molecule: ribosomal RNA, 114 nt
Filed under: Acanthosepion pharaonis
Lineage: Eukaryota; Metazoa; Mollusca; Cephalopoda; Sepiida; Sepiidae
Source: RNAcentral